AGAGCGAACGCUGGCGGCAGGCUUAACACAUGCAAGUCGAACGGAUCCUUCGGGAUUAGUGGCGGACGGGUGAGUAACACGUGGGAACGUGCCUUUUGGUUCGGAACAACUCAGGGAAACUUGAGCUAAUACCGGAUGUGCCCUUCGGGGGAAAGAUUUAUCGCCAUUAGAGCGGCCCGCGUCUGAUUAGCUAGUUGGUGAGGUAAAGGCCCACCAAGGCUACGAUCAGUAGCUGGUCUGAGAGGAUGACCAGCCACAUUGGGACUGAGACACGGCCCAAACUCCUACGGGAGGCAGCAGUGGGGAAUCUUGCGCAAUGGGCGAAAGCCUGACGCAGCCAUGCCGCGUGAAUGAUGAAGGUCUUAGGAUUGUAAAAUUCUUUCACCGGGGACGAUAAUGACGGUACCCGGAGAAGAAGCCCGGCUAACUUCGUGCCAGCAGCCGC
RNAcentral lists this ribosomal RNA (445 nucleotides) under uncultured bacterium. RNAcentral describes it as "SSU rRNA". It matches the Rfam family "Bacterial small subunit ribosomal RNA", at positions 26 to 518 of the family's 1533-position model. The record is from RNAcentral.